GGGGAUUUAACCCAGGGGUGCUUUACCACUGAGUCACUUCCCCAGGCCUUUUUAUUUUUUAUUUUGAGACAGGGUCUCACUAAAUUCCUGAGUCUGGCCUUGAGCUUGCAAACUCCUGCCUCAGACUCCUGAGUUCCUGGGAUUACAGGAAUAUGCCACUGCACCUGGCAGCAACCGGAUACUAUUAUAAAGACAUUGAGAGUUUCUCAUUAAGUCUCAAGAGCUCCCAGGAACUGAAGGAACUGGAGCUGCAUGUGCUGGACUUUUAGACCUAUUCUGUCCAUUACAGUGGUCACUGGCCACAUGUGGCUAUUUAAAUAAAAUUAAUUAAGUUAAACGGAUUUUAAAUCAACUAGAAUUUUAUUUAUUUAUUUAUUUAUUUAUUUUUUCAUACCUUUAUUUUUAUGUGGUGCUGAGGAUCGAACCCAGUGUCUUACACAUUAGAGGCAAGUGCUCCACCACUGAGCUAUAGCCCCAGCCCCAUAGAAUUUUAAAUUAACUAGAAUUUAGUCACACUUAUCACAAUUCAAAAGCUCAGUAGUCACCAUGGCUGGUGGUCACCACAUUGGGUAACAUAGUUAGAGAACAUUCCUAUUGUUUUAGCAGGUACAGUUGGGCAGCGUUGCUCUAGAUUAUUUGUCCAGCUUAUGAUAAUCUUUUCUUCUAUCUAAUCCCCAGGAGUAGAGCCUUAGCUUCUGUCAAAUCAAAUUUUAAAAUUGUUUGCCUCUUUUCCAGGUACAGUGGUGCAGGCCUGGAAUCCCAGUGACUCAGGAAAUUGAGGCAGGAGGAUCACAAGUUUGAGGCCAGCCUCAGCAACUUAGUAAGACCCCGUCGUAAAAUUAAAAUAAUAAAAAGGGCUUGGGAUAUAGCUCAGUGGUAAAGUGCCCCUGUUUUCAGUCUGUAGUACCAGAAAAAAAAAUUGUUUGCCCCACUUAAAAGUCUUCUAUGAGGGGUUAGGAUUGUGGCUCAGAGAUAGAGUGCUCACCUAGCAUGUGUGAGGAUCUGGGUUCGAUCCUCAGCACCACAUAAAAGUAAAAAAUAAAGAUAUUGUGCCCACCUAUAACUAAAAAAUAUUUUAAAAAGUCUGUGGUUGCUCAUAUUAUAAUAGGGGUUCACUUGAUGCUUCGACUACUUCCCUUGUGGGGAGAUGUAGUCCCCCACAACCUUUUCUCCCUGAUCAUCUUCCCCCAUCUUCUUUUCCCUAAUCUUCUCCUUCCUGAUCUUUUCCUCCCUGAUCUUCUUUCCCCUGAUCUUCUCCUUCCUGAUCUCUCCUCCCUAAUCUCAUUUUCUCUGAAUCACCUCUAUAAAAGCCCCCUAUUCCUGCUGAUGGGCAGAAUCUCAGCUCUUGGGGCAAGAGUCCCCUGUGUUUCUCCUUUGCUAGCAAAGCAAUAAACUUUUUUCCUUUUUUUUUUUUUUAAACUGUAUCCUCCUUAUUGCAUUGGCAUCGGGACAAGGACUGAGCUUUUGGCAACAAUAUGAUAAACCUAAAUCCCUCAGUAUGGUCUAUAUGCUCUGCACAAACAGGUUUCCGAUUGCUUUUUUUCAAUCUCAUACUCUUGGCCACAUUGAAAGACACAAUCUCACCCUUCUGGCUGGUUCUUGGACCAUGAUAGCUGACACAAGCUGGGCCAGAGUCUUAGGAGGGUCUGCUGGUGACCUUGAUUGGUCCUCCCCUGAUGGAUUGCUAUUUGUUAUAGUCCUCUACAGAGUGGCACCCAUGUUGGAUCUUAGCUUUAAAAUUGAGUUUGCUCCCUCCAUAGUUGACCUUUCCUUAUAAAUGGUCUUGAAUGUUUUGCCAUUUAAGUACCACUACCUUGGUUAGGUUAGUAGACAAACUAUCUAGGCCACAACUGGCCAACUUGCACAUAGAGCCCCAAUCAGUUGGUAGAGGAAACCAUGUGGCUUCCUGGUUCUUAUUUGCUAGGGACCAUUCUGUAGAUGGCUAUAUUUUAGCAGAUUUGGUUACAGUUAGAGAUCUUCAACUUAAUUUUUACUCUGCUUUCAGAUUGCUGUGUGUUGUGAGGUGGAUACUGAGAAUUGAACCCAAGGCUUCCUGCUCUAUCACAGAGUGAUUACAUCCCCAGCCCUUUAAAACUUUUUUUUCAAAUUUUUAUUUUGAGGUAGGAUUCCACUAAAGUUGCUGAGGUUGGUCUUGAACUUGCAAUCCCUCUUACGUCAGGUUCCUGGGUAGCUGGAAUUAUAGGUGUGUGCCACCAUGUGGCUCUAGACUGAUUUUUCUAAUAGUAGCUUUAAUGUUGUAGCUUUAAUUCUAGUUUAUGAGUUGGCUUUGUGUUUCUGGCCCUCUGGCCAAGUCCAGACCACAGCUUGUUUUUGUAAACGAAGAAGUUUUAUUAGAACACAAACACUUCUGUUCAUUUACAUAUGAUCUAUGGCUGCUUUUGUACUGCAAAGACAGAGUCCAAUAGUUUCAACAAAGACCAAUACAAAUCCUUAAACAGCUGGGCAUGGUGACACAUGCCUGUAAUCCCAGCAGCUGGGGAGGCUGAGGAAGGAGGAUCAAAGUUUGAGGCCAGAUUUGCAGGUAAAUGGAUGGAGUUGGAGAAUAUAAUGCUAAGUGAGGUUAGCCAAUCCCAUAAAACCAAAUGCUGAAUGUUUUCUCCUGAUAUAAGGAAGCUGAUUUAUAAUACGGUUGGGAGCGGGAGCAUAGGAGGAUUAGAUGAACUCUAGAUAGGGGAGAGGGGUGGGAAGGAAGGAGCGGGCAUGGGGGUAAAAAGGAGGGUGGAACGAGAUGGAUAUCAUUACCCUAAGCACCCCUGGGUUCAAUCUUCAGUACCAAAAAAAAGGGCUGGGGAUCAGUGAUAGAGUGGGUGCUUAGCAUUAUGAGGUUCAGGGUUUGAUGCUUGGCACCAAAACAAACAAACAACACCCCCCCCCAAAAAAAAAAACCCACCAAAACCCAAAUAAACAAACAACAACAACAAAAACGCUGAUUUAUUUGACAAAGGGAAGAAGAGAUUUCACCGGGUCAGGUGAAGUAGCCCAUGCCCAUAAUCACAGUAACUGGUGGCUGAGGCAGUAGAAUCUUUUUUUUUUUUUUUUUUUUUUGUAUUGGAGAUUUAACCCAAGGGUGCUUUACCACUGAGUCACAUCCCCAAUCCUUUUUAUGUUUUGUUUUAUUUUGAGACAGGGUCUCACUAAAUUACUUAGAGCCUUGCUGAGUUGCUGAGGCUGAUCUUGAACAUUGCAAUCCUCCUGUCAGCCUCCUAAACUGCUGGGAUUACAGGUAUGCACCACCACAUCUGGCCAGGAGAGUCUUUUGAGCCCAGGAGCUAGAGGUCAGCUUGGGCCAUAUAGAAAAAUCCUGUCUCAAAACCAAAAACAGAACAAAAUAAAACAAAAAUCAAAGAAAACAAAAAUCUAAAACAAAGCCAGGCACUGUGGUACAUAUCUGUAAUCUGAGGCUGAGGCAGGAGGAUCCCAAAUUCAAGGGCAACCUGGGCAAUUUAGAGAGACCCUAUUUCAAAAUAAAAAAUCAAAAGGAUUGAGGAUAUAGCUUUGUGGUACAGCACUCCUGAGUUCAAUCCCCAGUACGGGAAACAAAACAAAAUAAAACAAAACACCUAAGAGACCAUAAAAGUAAAAACUAAGAAGAGACUCACCAAAAAAUUUGCUGAGAAGGAGAAACUGAAACCCUGGGGGGAGAGGCUUUAUUGCUUGUUGUUUUCCAAUAAAACUGGGGAGACAGGUUGGCAAGUAAACAGGUUGACUCAAAGCUGGUUUUGAGAAAGUUAAAGGAGAGCUUUAUUCUUUAUCAAAUUUCCACCUUUGGGGACUCAGCAGCAUGGAAAGCCAUCAUAAGAGGAGAGGAGGCACAGUGGAGGAAGAGGCAGAUUUAGCUAGGGGAAAUAUGUCAGUCUUUAAUUUCCUUGGCAUCUGUUCUCAGCAGGAGGAAGUUUUAAUUCUCAGCAGGAGGAAAUUCAAGAGCUAUUUCAAAAUCAAGGGAGUUUUGAGCAUUAGGAAAGGGUUUUCAUGAUAAUAUGCUAAUUAAGAAUUAAAACUGGGGAUGGGGAUGUGGCUCAAGCAGUAGCGCACUCCCUUGGCAUGGGUGCGGUCCGGGUUCGAUCCUCAGCACCACAUACAAACAAAGAUGUUGUGUCCGCCAAAAACUAAAAUGUAAAUAAAAUAUUAAAAAAAAAAAAAGAAUUAAAACUGAACACUUUAGCUGGGCCCGGUGGCCUAUGCCUAUAAUCCCAGUGGCUCAGAGGCCAAAGCAGGAAGAUCAUGAAUUCAAAGCCAGCCUCAGCAAUUUAGCAAGGCCCUAAGCAACUUAGUGAGACCAUGUCUCUAAACAAAAAAUAUAAAACUGGCUGGGGAUGAAGCUCAGUGGUUAAGCCCCCCUGCAUUUGAUCUUCAGUACAAAAGAAAAAAAAAAUUGAACACUUUGUACAGAAUGAAUUCAGAGAUCUGACUCGAUUGGUUAAAAAAAGUCCCAAAGAUACUGGUUGGGAAGGAGUCUUCAGUUAGGUCUGCUAAGAGUCUGACAUUCAGAGAUCACUUAAAGUCCAUAUUUGUUCACUGGCUUCAGCUGGCUGGCAUCAGUUGUGAUUAAAUAAUUUUUUUUUUUUUUUUGUGUGUGUGUGUGUGUGGUGCUGGGGAUCAAACCCAGGGCCUUGUGUGUGGGCGGCAAGCACUCACUCUACGGACUGAGCUAUAUCCCCAGCCUUUGUUUAUUUUCAAUUUUCUGUUUGACAUCUCCUUGGCAAGUCACAUCAUAAAUGGAAAUCUUUUCCUUACCUAUUAUUUUUAUAUACUAUUUGUGAUUGGUAUUAUGAAAACAGACCAAGGUUAUAACAAACUUGGCUCUCCUUCUUUCUUUUCUUUUUUUUACACUGGAGAUUGAACCCAGGGGCACUUUACCACUAAGAAAAAGCCAGCCUCAGCAACUUAGUGAGGCCCUAAGAAACUCAAUGAGAGCCUGUCUCUAGAUAAAAUAUUUUUACAUCACCCCCCUUUAUUUUUUAAAUUUUGAGACAGAAUUUCGCUAAGUUUCUGAGGGCCCUGCUGAGUUGCUGAGGCUGGCCUUGAACUUGUGAUCCUCCUGCUGGGAUUACAGGUGUGUACUACCAUGUCCAGCUCUCUCUUUUUUGUUAAGCAGACCCCAAUUUUGUUUAGGCAUUGGGUGGGCAGCAAUCUGUUCUAGGAUAUAGGUCCCUUGUCCCCCAUCCCAGGGCUGCUUGAUAAGGUGUUGAUAACACUGCCCCUGUUUGCAAGUAAUUAGUCCAAUUCUGACCCAGGGAAAGUCUGCUGGGGUUUCUAAAACUUUUUUCCCUAUUAAAACCAAAAUCUUGCCAGGUGCUGUGGCACAUACUUGUAAUCCCAGUGGCUCUGGAGGCUGAGGCAAGAGGCUCAUGAGUUCAAAGCCAGCCUCCAGCAAUUUAGUAAGCCCUGUUUCAAAAUAAAAUAUAAAGGGCUGGAGUUGUGUCUCCGUGGUAGAGCGCUCACCUAGCAUGUUUGAGGCCUUAGGUUCGAUCCUCAGCACCACAUAAAAAUAAAUAAAAUAAAGGUAUUGUGUCCAACUACAACUAAAAAGCAAAUAUUAAAAAAUAAAAUAUAAAAAGAGCUGGGGAUGUGGCUUAGUGGUUAAGUGACCCUGGGUUCAAUCCCCUGGUAUAAAUAAAUAAAUAAAUAAAAUCUCUGGGCUGGGGAUGUGGCUCAGUGGUUAAGUGACCCUGGGUUUAAUCCCCUGGUACGAAUAAAUAAAUAAAUAAAUAAAUAAAUAAAUAAAUAAAUAAAAUCUCUGGGCUAGGGAUAUAGCUCAGUGGUUGUGCACAUGCUUAAAACCCUGAGGCCGGAGUUCAAUCCCCAGUACAAAACAAGUAAAUAAACUCUUCCAGGAGAAAGGAUCAUUGUCACCUGCCUGCUUCUUCCUAUCUGGAAUGCAGUUGUGUGACAUGUGAUCUUUGGAGUUACAUCAAAUAUCUAGUUCAGUUAGGUGGCAAGCUCAAGGAUGAACCACACCUCCUUCCUAUUGUUGAGCUCCUGCAUUAUCCAUGGAACCUCCAGAUUUCUAAUUGGAGACAAAUAACUCUUUUUUUUUUUUUAAUUGGAGAUUGAACCCAGGGAUGCUUAACCACUGAGUCACAUCCCCAGCCCCUUUUAAAAAUAUUUAUCUAGAGAAGGGUCUCAUUGAGUUUCUUAAGGCCUCACUAAGUUGCUGAGACUGGCUUUAACUCAAGAUCCUCCUGCCUCAGACUCCUGAGCCACUGGGAUUACAGGAGUGUGCCACCAUGCCUGGCUACAAAUAACUUUUUAUUGUGUAAACCUUAAGCACAUGUUAUAUGUUGUGUGAGAAUUCUGUUGUAUAUAGCUAAAUAUCAUAAUUUACACAAAUAGCUGUAUUGUUUUGGGUCAAUUUGAUAAGAUAUUAGAAUUUAUAUUAUAAACAAAUAGAAUUUAUAUUAUAUCUCACUACAUAUUUAUGUAUAAUUUGUAAAAGCUUCUUUUGGUAGUCUUAUUAUACUUGUAAAAAUAUAUAUAUAAAUUUUUAUAUAUAAAUAUGUGUAUAUAUAUGUAUGUAUUUAUGUAUCUAUUAGGACUCUACACCAAGUAUUUUCCCCCAAGUAUUCUACAUCAAGUUUUCACCCCUUCUGGACUCAUGGCAGGAUGGCACUUCCUGCCCCCUUGUGGUUCUGGCCAUAGAGCUAUGACUGGGAAUGACAUUUCCCCCAUAGAUUUGGUUUAUAACACAUAUUAUCACACAAAAGUUCAUGUAUAAAUUAAAGUGCUAUCUUGAGAUUUGUAUCUCGUCCAUAGGGGAGCAUCCCUGCUCAUCCCAUUUUGAGCUUAGAUAUUCUCAUAUAAUUCAUAGAGCAGAUGGCAGGUGCAUUUCCUGAAGUAGGGUAGUAGUUCUGCUUUGCCAUUCUGUUCUUGUUCCUUUUCCCCCUCUCUGAUUUUCACAGGUCAAGCAAUCAGAAAAAAAGAUUCUGCAGCAUUCGCGUCCCAGUAGGAUUCCAGCCAGUAUAUCAGUCAUUUAUGGACAUAGGUCUUCAGCAUCAACUGGAACCCCUGCUGUAGAAGCCUAUUUUUCCCAUCAUCCCACUUAUGAAAUCAUAGAAUCUCUCUGUUACAGGAAACUUCUUUCUCUACAUUGAGGGGGAACAAUUUAUAUCAUUGUAUUUUUUUAUAAGAGAGAGAGAGAGGAGAGAGAAUUUUAAUAUUUAUUUUUUAGUUCUCCGCGGACACAACAUCUUUGUUGGUAUGUGGUGCUGAGGAU
RNAcentral lists this long non-coding RNA (7234 nucleotides) under Marmota monax (woodchuck). The stretch from base 961 to 1021 matches the Rfam family "tRNA", at positions 6 to 65 of the family's 71-position model. The record is from RNAcentral. Lineage: Eukaryota; Metazoa; Chordata; Mammalia; Rodentia; Sciuridae.